AUGAGAAGUGCAUCAACGUGUACAUAUUCCCAAGAUACCGCGUUGAAAGAAGACCAAAAAAGCAAGCUGUCACAUGACAUAGUGACAUUCAAUUCUCCAAGAGUUUUGAGUGAUUGGCCUCAUUCCACACAAGGGGAGACUGAGGAGCAGCAGUGGAAGGGGGCCUUUUUUCGAAACCACAUGGAUUCUGGAUCUUCGAUGAGAACCAUGUUUCUGGUUCUCUCUCCUUACAGACACAUGUCAAAGGCACACUCCCCUGCUGUUUUGGAGUGUCAUAUGACUCGGGACUCAUUUGGGAUCAUGGAGUGUGAGCAAAAGGGAAGGGUCAUGAUUUCCUCGCAGCUGUGACAAAACCAGUAUUCCAGACAGCGGCUGUCCCGGCAGUCUCAGUCCUGGAGUGAGGACAUAGGAAGGCAGAGAUCCAGCCGAGCCAUGAUGGACACAGAGCAAACGUGAGAAAUAAUAGCACUCGGUUGUCUCAUACCCCUGGGAGCUGGGUGCUAUUUGUUACUGAGGCAUAACCUAGCCUAUCCUGACUCUAAGCCCCAAUGCCAGGCUUUUUACUCCACCGAGUGAAGCCAGAAUGGGAGGUCAGCUCUCCCAAAUCCAAGUUCACCAUUUCACUCUGGUUCUCCUUCUUCUAUUAGGAGUUCCUCGACUUUCAUAAUUCCUAGUUUGCAGAACAGGAGUUUAUGUUUUGGAGAAGUCACUUGCCUGAAGGCACAGCCCCAUUAAGUAGCCUCAUGAUGUCUACCUUAGUAUCAGAGCUCAUCUGAGCUUCCCUUCCUUCUCCUUCCUGUUCCUUGUCCUGCAGGAAAUCAUACAGUCUAGUGAUGAGUAGUAUUGGCUGUGAAGGCGGCCUGCCUGGGUUCAAAGGUGACUUUGAGGGAAUCCCUGGGUGGCUCAGCAGUUUGGCGUCUGCCUUCGGCCCAAGGCGUAAUCCUGGAGUCGGGAUCGAGUCCCUUGUCGGGCUCCUUGCAAGGAGCAUGUUUCUCUUUUGCCUGUGUCUCUGCCUCUCUUCCUCUCUGUCUCUCAUAAAUGAAUAAAUAAAAUCUUUAAAAAAUAAAAAACAAAGGUGACUUUGAGUGAACAUCUUAGAACCUUCCUCCUCUGUAAUGGGGAUGUCACUAGUAG
RNAcentral lists this long non-coding RNA (1134 nucleotides) under Canis lupus familiaris (dog). RNAcentral describes it as "lncRNA (ENSCAFG00030023122.1)". The record is from RNAcentral. Lineage: Eukaryota; Metazoa; Chordata; Mammalia; Carnivora; Canidae.